RNAcentral lists this microRNA (23 nucleotides) under Drosophila ananassae. RNAcentral's name for it is "Dan-Novel-13_3p (mature (co-guide))". The record is from RNAcentral. Lineage: Eukaryota; Metazoa; Arthropoda; Insecta; Diptera; Drosophilidae.
ACCUAAGCGUUCUGCUCCUCUAC